UCCUGUGGUAUGUCAUACUUAUACCCAUAGCAACUCAUUUGUUAUUCAUUGAAGUCACAUGAAAGCUUGUUGACUGUCUGAAUGACACCAAAUGCGCAUAGCAACAAGCUUUUUGCUGCGCGUGCGCACCAAGAAACUACACUGCACUCAAUUAGUGUACUACUGUCUGGAGAUAAGUGGAUGUUUUUACAACUCUCUAACCACUAACAAGAAUAGUGAAAGAGGAAGUGUUCUAGUACUACUGCACAAUAAAAGGUAAUGGGCUGAUUUUUGUGCAAAAAUAAAAUUAGGUUUGAAACUUGACAAAAUAAUUAUAACUACGACUACAUAAUAAUUAGUAUACAUACAUGCAGAAACAACAUUCAGGAAUGAGUGAGGAGCACAUUGCUGUACUCUCCCAGCACUGCCGGGUGUGCGGAUCUCAUUUUAAAAACAAGAAGAGAGUCGAUCUCUUAGAGGUUUUUGGGAUCGAUGUCAAUGAAGACCAGGAUGAAAUUCAUAUUGCCACCCUUGAUGUAUCAUACCAAAGCAGCAGAAAAAGACAAAACGGAAUACAACCCCAGGAAAGUCAUUGCAACAUGGUCGGCACACACUGAAAAUUGCUUAGUAUGCUCGAGUGAUAGCGUUCACAGUGUUGGUGGGAGACCCAGUAUACAAACCUGGUAGACCAGUCCUUUCUGUCAGCCAUCAAACAGCAAUAGCUCCCCUCAGUUUUUGUCAGAAGAAAACAGUUUUUCAAAUGCCCCCUGUGUUUAGAGAUUCUAGAUAGAGUGUGAUACACUCGUCUGUGCCGAUUGCUUGUGUACACGGUUGCAAGGGUACACGGUUGCAGAGCACAUCGUGUCCUUGCUGCCAUACAGAGCACCUCAGCGAUUUGGACACAAUCCAACCUCCGUCCAAGAUUACUCUCAGGGCAUUAGAAACCAUUGAGGUUACGUGCAGUGAGUGUGCAAAACGAGGGUACCUAAAACAUCACAAGGCCCACGUUGAUAGCACGUUGAUAGCACAGAGCACUUCAACCCUGUACCAAUAGAACUCGACCCAUCUGACCUUUUGAACAACUGUCACCGUUCGAGGAGAAACUACAAUCGAGGCUGAUCAAACGCAGUAUGCACAGAGGAAGCCACUGACUUUUGUACAAGUAAGCUCACCUCGAGUAUCCAGUGGCAGUGCCAGCCAAACCACUCUCAAACGGCGUAGUACUGAGUAGUACUGAGCUGUUGGAAGUACGCAAAAGCGUGAGCGAUGUACAGCACGAAAGGAAGACCGGGAGAAGUUGGUUGACGGACUGGGAAUUCAAUCGGUCUUGAUGAUUCCGUUUUACAAGCUACGAAUCAUGAAGAAGUAAUACAUGUACAAUAAUUAUAACAUCUCUCUUACCUCAAGCAAUUUUCGCACUUUAACCCUGUACCAAUAGAACUCUACCCAUCUGACCUUUUGAACUUUUGAAGAACUGUCACCGUUCGAGGAGAAACUACAAUCGAGGCUGAUCAAACGCAGUAGCUGAAAGUGAAGACAGGAGGAACGCCACUGACUUUUGUGCAAGUAAGCUCACCUUGAGUAUCCGGUGGCAGUGCCCAGCCAAACCACUCUCAAACGGCGUAGUACUGAGCUGUUGGAAGUACGCAAGAGGGUGAGCGGUGGUGAGGAUGUACUGCAGUUGAGCAAUGAGGUGGACUGGGAGAAGUUGGUUGAGGAGCUCAAGAAAACUACGGACUGCUUAGCUUGGGAAUUCAAUCGGUCUUGAUGAUUCCGUUUUACAAGCUACGAAUAAGAAGAUGCGAGCAGAAGGCAAUUCACCUCAAGUCUGAGCUGGUUCCUUUCACCUUCCCACUCAGAGAUGGUAGACACACGGUAGAAAUACCUAUGUGCUACACUCCAAAUCUGUGGGAGUACGAUGACGCUGAGAGGAGAGUGCACCGACUGACGUGGCACAAUGGCAGGAUCCCAGAGAGUGAGAUAUGGGUCAAGCUGGGAGGCGACAAGGGAGGAGGGAGUUCAAGGGAGGAGGGAGUUUUAAGAUGAAUUUUCAAAUCUACAACGUCGAUCACCCCAACUCCCCUGUCAAUACCUGUGCGUUUUGUGUGUCCUCAGAAUAGCGUUACAGAGGUUCCAGGACGAGGUCGACAGCAUGCACACCAGACAUACUACCUAUAACAUAAUUAUUACAAUUAUAGAGGAAAGAGUAUCAGGGUGUACUAGUUUCUGUCAGGUGCUUCAGGGUGCCUGAUAAUUUCGGAUCAGCUGAGGACACCACCCACAACAGAACAGUGGAGAGUAGAAGUACUGACAGCAUCGUGCGGGACAACCAAAGAUUUAUGGCAGCAGGAGGGACAAAGCAGGAGGGACAAAGUGAAGAGCUACUUGCGUCAGGGAACCGUUUUUUAAGCAGUCAAGUAGAAAAUAUAUUUUAUUUAACACCCACCUUAACACCCACCUUUUUCUGAAAUGCAGGUCUGCCCUCCAGGUCUGCAUAUUGGUUUGGGACCGUCUGUUCCAAUUAAUGGAGGAUCAGUGUCAUCAGUUAGAAGUUGACAGUCGUGAGAAGGGCGGUCCGUCAUACAUGGAUGAAGCCAGAACCCGAGCUAGACAUCCCUACAGAAACUUGUGUAGGGCAAAUGAGCUCACCUGAAUGAUCUUGUGGGCAGUGUUCGGACAGGGUGAGGAAGGUGAGGAUCCUGAGCUGCAAGCCCUCCGCUCCGAGCUCGAGGAGAAAGCCCUGCAUGUGAACAAACUGCCAAAGAACAUAGUGGAGCUUUGUAACGCAGUGGUGCUGGCAGCAGGUAACUACCAACCUGCUAUUAUGGAGAAGGCAGAGAAGAUCCAGAGGACAUUUUCGGUUGUAUUUGAUCUUUUUAGCAAGUGUCACAACAUCUACAGUGAGUGUAUAUGCUUCCCUAGGUAUAGGUAAAUUAUUUGUCUAAAGAAAUGCCACAAAUUACCUUGUAAUUCCAUCCAAAGAUUGCACAUCAAAUCAUUCAUGACGUACUACCGAGAGUCGUGAUACCAAAAAUGCAUAUGCUGGAGAAGCACGUAGUUGACUGGCUCAACGAGUGGAAGGUAGGAUUAGGACAGAUGGGCGAGCAAGGGGCAGAGUGAUUCAAGCCUACUUUACUUUACUUUACUUUAAUAAUC
This is a long non-coding RNA of Halichondria panicea, 3135 nucleotides long. RefSeq lists it as uncharacterized. The transcript has 7 exons. The record is from RefSeq and is a predicted model, not a curated record. Lineage: Eukaryota; Metazoa; Porifera; Demospongiae; Suberitida; Halichondriidae.